This 292-nucleotide ribosomal RNA is filed under the name uncultured bacterium. RNAcentral describes it as "partial 16S ribosomal RNA". It matches the Rfam family "Bacterial small subunit ribosomal RNA", at positions 505 to 796 of the family's 1533-position model. The record is from RNAcentral.
GUGCCAGCCGCCGCGGUAAUACGUAGGUGGCAAGCGUUGUCCGGAAUUAUUGGGCGUAAAGCGCGCGCAGGCGGUCUUUUAAGUCUGAUGUGAAAGCCCCCGGCUCAACCGGGGAGGGUCAUUGGAAACUGGAAGACUUGAGUACAGAAGAGGAGAGUGGAAUUCCACGUGUAGCGGUGAAAUGCGUAGAUAUGUGGAGGAACACCAGUGGCGAAGGCGACUCUCUGGUCUGUAACUGACGCUGAGGCGCGAAAGCGUGGGGAGCAAACAGGAUUAGAUACCCCGGUAGUCC